RNAcentral lists this non-coding RNA (26 nucleotides) under Homo sapiens (human). Lineage: Eukaryota; Metazoa; Chordata; Mammalia; Primates; Hominidae. The record is from RNAcentral.
UGGCCUAACGCACCAUGUGAUGUGUC